UUACUCCUACGGGAGGCAGCAGUGGGGAAUUUUCCGCAAUGGGCGAAAGCCUGACGGAGCAAUGCCGCGUGGAGGUGGAAGGCCUACGGGUCGUCAACUUCUUUUCUCGGAGAAGAAACAAUGACGGUAUCUGAGGAAUAAGCAUCGGCUAACUCUGUGCCAGCAGCCGCGGUAAUCA
RNAcentral lists this ribosomal RNA (178 nucleotides) under uncultured bacterium. RNAcentral describes it as "partial 16S ribosomal RNA". It matches the Rfam family "Bacterial small subunit ribosomal RNA", at positions 333 to 527 of the family's 1533-position model. The record is from RNAcentral.